AUGGGGCUCUGGACCUUUAAUCAGGCAUUAGCACAUGGAGAGCUAAUGAGGAUGAUUGUGUUGCAUGAAUUGGCAUUCUCAUUGGUGGAGUACGAUGGAUUUGGAAGAUUUGUCUCCAGUCUAAAUCCUAGCUUCAAGAUGAUAUGUAGAAAAACAGUGAAGGAGGACUGCAUGAAAGCAUUUAAGGAAGAGAAGAGAAUUCUGCAAAGGAUGUUCCAAAACUCCAAAUCCAAGAUUUCUUUGACUACGGAUCUGUGGACAUCAAAUCAGACAGUGGGGUACAUUUGCGUCACAGCUCACUUCAUUGAUGAGGAGUGGAAGCCGCAGAAGAGGAUAGUGAAAUUCGCAGCUAUGGAGACGCCGCACACAGGAGCUGCAAUGUUCAACGUCAUGGUGAAUUUCAUAAGAGAGUGGAAUAUUGAAGAUAAUCUCUUUGCUAUGACGCUAGACAAUGCAUCGAACAAUGGUGCAAUGAUGAAGCUGUUGAAGGCACAUCUCCUGCUUAAGAAGAUGUUACCUGGUAGUGGCAAGUUGUUUCACCAACGUUGUGCCGCCCAUGUCAUAAGUCUGAUAUGUCAAGCCGGAUUGAACUUCCUUGGUCCAGUAAUCAACAUGAUGCGUGAGAGUGUCAAAUAUAUUCGAAGCUCACCAAGUAAAGGAAAAAUUUCAAGAAAUCGUUGCGUAGCAUGGUGUAUCAUGUGGGAGAACUCCAAGUCUUGA
This 720-nucleotide ribosomal RNA is filed under the name Triticum aestivum (bread wheat). Its description in RNAcentral is "partial small subunit ribosomal RNA". The record is from RNAcentral. Lineage: Eukaryota; Viridiplantae; Streptophyta; Magnoliopsida; Poales; Poaceae.